Molecule: long non-coding RNA, 923 nt
Filed under: Durio zibethinus
Lineage: Eukaryota; Viridiplantae; Streptophyta; Magnoliopsida; Malvales; Malvaceae
Description: long non-coding RNA (DZIB_LNC000795)
Source: RNAcentral
UCACAUGUAAAAACAAAACUAAUUACAAUAUUUCUUAUAGUGACCUAAAAAAAUGUAGAAUAAUACGGAUCAUGACAAAUAAAGAGUUAUUUAUACAUAAUUUAUAAAGAGUUAGGGGGAAAUGAUAAAAUAAAUGGAUCAUCCAUCAAAAUUCAAACAAAAGUUUACAUUCAUCUGCUGAAACUGAAACAUCUUGGUUUGUAAAGACUUUGCUGUAUAUGGGACCAAAGCAAAGCCUGCAGGCUGGAACCAAGCAACUCUCCCACUUCAUGAAUAUGACUUCCAACUAUAUAUAAUAACUGAAGAUGAAUUACCUUUCAUGAAAGUGCAUAUCCAAUUUGCAGGAGUUGAAAGGUUGAGAAAUCAGGAUGCAAGAAAUCCAACCCGGGCAUCGAUAUCCCCAACGAGUUCUGAUGAGCAAGAAAAAAGAUUGCAGGACUGAAAGCAAAAGAGAGAGCAUCAAGGAAGAAGAAGAAGAUGGUAGUGAUAGGGGCCAUUUUGAAACUUUGGGUCUAUCAAAAUGGUUUGGAGAAUUAAUUUUUCUCUGCUCUUUAUAUAUAGGUGGUUCUUUUUUUUUUUUUUUUGAGUUGGGCGUUGCUAAUGGUAGUUGAAUUUGUCGCUUGGAGUGUUUGCUUUCCAAAAAAAAAAAAAGGGUUCCUUAGAGUGUUUAGAUGCUAGCCAUGGUGAAAGCUUUGAGGAAAAUGAUGGAAGUGAUAGCUAGGGUUGCUUAUGCCUGUGGGAAGAGUGAUGGAAUGAAUGUCUUGAGAGUUCCUGCCUACAACACUACCAGUGGGGGACAAAAUUUGUGUUAGGAUAAGGGGGAAAACACUAAUUAAUGUACUGGCUGCCAAGUUGUCACGUCUUGAUUCUUGCAAGUUGCAAGGUCAUAAAAAUAAUUGUUGAAACUAAUGAUUACUAAGGGG